This 489-nucleotide ribosomal RNA is filed under the name uncultured bacterium. Its description in RNAcentral is "partial 16S ribosomal RNA". It matches the Rfam family "Bacterial small subunit ribosomal RNA", at positions 29 to 507 of the family's 1533-position model. The record is from RNAcentral.
AUGAACGCUAGCUACAGGCUUAACACAUGCAAGUCGCGGGGCAGCAUGGGGGUUGCUUGCAAUCCCCGAUGGCGACCGGCGCACGGGUGAGUAACGCGUAUCCAACCUGCCCUUCACCACGGGAUAACCCGGCGAAAGUCGGACUAAUACCGUAUGUUGUCCAUUGACGGCAUCCGAUUUGGACGAAAGGUUUGGCGGUGAAGGAUGGGGAUGCGUCCGAUUAGCUGGACGGCGGGGUGACGGCCCACCGUGGCGACGAUCGGUAGGGGUUCUGUGAGGAAGGUCCCCCACACUGGAACUGAGACACGGUCCAGACUCCUACGGGAGGCAGCAGUGAGGAAUAUUGGUCAAUGGGCGUAAGCCUGAACCAGCCAAGUAGCGUGCAGGAUGACGGCCCUAUGGGUUGUAAACUGCUUUUAUGCGGGGAUAAAGUGGCCCACGUGUGGGUUUUUGCAGGUACCGCAUGAAUAAGGACCGGCUAAUUCCGUG